ACCGCUGGGAUUUUCGGCCGCUCUUCAAUUUCUGCGACGCAAUACACGCGGAAAAAGAUGCCGGGACGCCGAGCGGCCGGCUGCCAUCGUAAACGAGUACAGACGAGAGUCGGCUGUUUCGCGUUCCCCAGGAAGAAUCGGAAUUGUCGGAAAAUAGGACUUUGGCGGAGGUAAUUUAUCACGGAGAGAGGAGCAGUCGAGUACGCCAAUCGAAUCGACGCGUUUUCGUCGCGAUGAGCAAGAGCGAAGAUCGUUUCUGUACUCUGAAGCGAGGUUCGAGCUGCACACAACGAGUCUCUCGAUGGCGUAGCCCUGUUGUUGGUCGCUCCUGUUGCUCGGCUGCGGUUGGUUCCUCGCGCGUUAUUCUGUAAACGCGUACCUCGACAAUCCUUCACACCAUUGUGUUUCACUCGAAGAUUACUCGAAGACUUCUGGGAGAGUUGCAAGAGACUCGUCGUCGAAGAGACCUGGUCGUUGCAUUUAUCGUACGCCGUGUGAUUAGCCUUGAAAUUAGGCUCGCUCUUAACAUCGAAAUGAAGAUAACAAUAAAAAGCUGGACCGGAGUCGCCACCUGGCGUUGGAUAGCGAAUGAUGAUAAUUGCGGCAUUUGUAGAAUGCCAUUUGACGCCAGCUGCCCGGACUGCAAAAUUCCUGGAGACGAUUGCCCGCUGGUGUGGGGGCAGUGCUCGCAUUGUUUCCACAUACACUGCAUCAUGAAGUGGCUGCACUCCCAGCAGACCAGCCACAUCUGCCCGAUGUGCCGCCAGGAGUGGAAGUUCAAGGAGUAACCGACGCUUUGCGCACGGGCCCGCAGGUGUCAGCACGCAGCGAGUAAUCAGCAUACAAGAAAGGAUCGCGAUGUCUUCCCUGCAAGGAUUACCUCCGUUACCGAGGAGUCUGAGCGGCUUCAACCUGAGCGGCGGACGUGGCGAGAGCGGAGAGCCGCCUCCACCGCCCACGAGGUCGUCCAGUAAAUCCCAGAGAGGCGGUAAAACGUCGGUGCAGUCGUCGUCGAGGCCGUCGCC
RNAcentral lists this unclassified non-coding RNA (1025 nucleotides) under Harpegnathos saltator (Jerdon's jumping ant). RNAcentral describes it as "leucine repeat adapter protein 25, transcript variant X5". Lineage: Eukaryota; Metazoa; Arthropoda; Insecta; Hymenoptera; Formicidae. The record is from RNAcentral.